UUGUCCCCAUGUCCGUGUCCCUGGGGGAGGGCAGCUAUUUCCGAGUGUCUCUUCAGGGACAGCAGACCCACUGGAUGAGGGCCCGAAAAUGGUUUCAGCACCUGUGUCAGAGCAGAACGCAACCGGCGCCAGGGUCCCGGGGAGAGAGGCAGCAGGAAGUGAGGCUGAGGGGCUGUCUGUGUCGCGCAGGGAGCCGGGCAGGGCUGUUUUCCAUGGCUGCCGGCCCUCUCCUUAGAUGAGUACACAGCUGCUUUUCACAGCGCUCAGCCUGCCCUCCUGGAGGGAUCAUUUGAGGAGAAAAUCCAUCUCAACAUCCACAUGUUGUGUAUCACUUGAACGCGGGGCAGGGCAAGGAAGACCAAAGCUCCCCCACUUUCAGGAGGCGACUCCUCCUUCUUUGCUGGACAGGGGCGAACAGGAACCACGUUGGCUCUGGAAGUUCACAGGGCAGUGGAUCAGGGCUCAGGAGGAAGAAGAUGGUGCAGCCGCAGGCACUUCUGAGUGACGAGAGGCAGGCAUGCGUUGAAGGUGAUCUGCAGGGCACUCACACACAGGGCUUGGCAAGGUCCCGCAGUCGUGGGGAACGUGGAAGUUCUGACCCAGGCCUUCUGUCACCGGUCCCAAGCCCACGUCGUUUCUGCGACAGCGUGACUGACCAGUAAGUCAUCUGCUUACCAAUGUCCCCCGAGCCAAGGACAGCGAUGGAAAGCCGUGCGGUAUCACUCCGGAAGAGGAAAGUCGGUGGCCUUUUAAGCAGGAUGAAGUCAAUCCUACAGGCCACAUGGUUUGCCACGUGGCACAUGCCUCCCCCUGUGACCUCAUUCAAUCCCUGCAGAGCCCCUGGCGGCCAUCGUCGUACGGUUGGCACCAGCAUGGACUCCAGAGCCCACCACCUGGCUUAUGGCCCCAGCUCUGCCCUCAUUAGCGGUGGAACCUGGCCAGCAACUUAAGCUCUCCAUGCCUCCGUUUCUUCAUCCAUAAAAUAAGAAUAGCACUGGUACCCCUGCGCAGGGCUGCUGCGAGAAUCAAGGUGCCUCGCUGGAACUUAACGUGAGGGGAGCCAGUGUGGUCUGUGGAGGCUCCUUUGAGCAGGUGACAUCUGAGCUGCCCUCUGAAGAUAACAAGGAUCCAGACAUGACGGGGAGAAGGAGACGCUGCAGGCAGAGGACAAAGUUAAGGACGCAGUACUCCUCCCCUCUGAAGGGCACAGCAACAAGGCGCCACCGUGGAAGCAGGGUCCAGGCCCUCACCUGACAUGAAGCCUGCCAGGACCUUGAUCUUGGACAUCCCAGCCUCCAGAGCAGGAAGUUGGAUUUGUCUCCUACUCCAUAGAAGAAAUAGAGGCCAUCAGAUAAGAAUUUCCUCAACUUGGCCAGGUGUGGUGGCUCACUCCUGUAAUCCCAGCACUUCGAGAGGCCGAGGCGGAUGGAUCACGAGGUCAGGAGAUCGAGACCAUCCUGGCUAACCUGGUGAAACUCCGUCUCUACUAAAAAUACAAAAAAUUAGCUGGGCGUGGUGGCAGACGCCUGUACUCCCAACUACUUGGGAGGCUGAGGCAGGAGAAUGGCAUGAACCCAGGAGGUGGAGCUUGCAGUGAGCUGAGAUUGCACCACUGCCCUCCAGCCUGGGUGACAGAGCAAGACACCAUCU
RNAcentral lists this long non-coding RNA (1650 nucleotides) under Homo sapiens (human). RNAcentral describes it as "non-protein coding lnc-C16orf95-2:20". Lineage: Eukaryota; Metazoa; Chordata; Mammalia; Primates; Hominidae. The record is from RNAcentral.